AGGCCCGGAGUGGAUCCCGCGCGACCGAGCAGCCACUCAGCACCGCUGUUGAGUUUCCACAUAAAUGUGACCUUGAAGACCUAGAUACAUAUUUAUCAGAAAUUCAACUGGACUUUUCCCAAAUGCUAUGGCAUGCCCAGGGAAUGGAACUGGGGAGAAAACGUAUGGAGGACUUUUCGCCCCUGCGGGCAGCUGGACCAAGUGGCCGGCGGCCAGACGGAACAGGUAGACCAGGCUGAGGGUGAAGGUGCAGGCGAUCAGCAGCAUGGACAAGAGGUUGCCUCCUGUCACCUUCUCCAUCGCCUGGCCCAGCACCGACCCACCCCGCCUGCAGCAAGCCCAGCAACAUCAUCCCCGCCGCUGCCGCCAUUUCACUUCAUUGGAGACACUGAAGGCCGAGGUCGCCACCACUCCUCCUAAUCGACGGAGCGAGAGAAGCUGGCGGAUGGUUGUCCACAGGCGGCUCCGGCCCCCAGGUCUCCUACUAAACGACAACAGUCAUUAUGGAAGCCUUUUUUUUUUUUCAAGUAAUAUUAAGUGCUUGAGUAUGUAUCAAAGAAGCCUUGACUGUUAAUUGUCACUCUAUUGGGCACUGUGGAGUAAAAGCAAUUCUAAAACCAACUACAUGGAAACCAUCAAGACCUGUCACUCCCGUUUCUCCACAGCUAUUGUUGCUCCUCACAGGUUCCCACUCCAGCCUUCUUCCUUCAAAGACCCUGAGAGAAGAAAUAAAAAAUAAAAGCAAGUGUGCAAGGAGCAGUGGCCAUUCACCAGACGUGAUCUCCCUGGCCGUGUUUCUGAAACGUAGAUCAAGAGGUGUAUUCUUCGGGAAAGGGGUCUCCAGGAUUUUGAAAUUUUAUAUUUUCAUUUAAAUGACCUAUAAAUUUUAAUGUUAGCAUAUUAUGAAUUGUUUUGUAAUCAAGUACUGACAUUUUAUUUGUGUUUAUAUUUGUAUUUCUGCUUAUGAUCACAUUGGCUGCAAGCAGCCGUACCUAAAUGAUGUCAGACUAAUGAGAAAAGAAGUGGACUAAAUAUGUAAAUGAUACGCCCAAACUAAGUGAAGACCAAACAAUGUCAUAUCAUGCUGUUCAAGAGAAGUUUCCAUCGUAUUUCAAUAAGAGGUAUGGUUGGGAGACUGAAGUCAUUGCCUUACACACAAAUAGACAUACUGAACUCAGAAGAACACAUACUGUGCUGGGCAGUGCCAUGGUCAAAUGGCAAAAGCCAAAGUGGAAUAGAGUAGCUAUGAGAUUUUGUUGGUUUCAAG
RNAcentral lists this long non-coding RNA (1267 nucleotides) under Homo sapiens (human). Its description in RNAcentral is "non-protein coding lnc-POMP-1:1". Lineage: Eukaryota; Metazoa; Chordata; Mammalia; Primates; Hominidae. The record is from RNAcentral.